RNAcentral lists this transfer RNA (72 nucleotides) under Ictidomys tridecemlineatus (thirteen-lined ground squirrel). RNAcentral's name for it is "Spermophilus tridecemlineatus (thirteen-lined ground squirrel) tRNA". It matches the Rfam family "tRNA". From Rfam's summary of the family: Transfer RNA (tRNA) molecules are approximately 80 nucleotides in length. Their secondary structure includes four short double-helical elements and three loops (D, anti-codon, and T loops). Lineage: Eukaryota; Metazoa; Chordata; Mammalia; Rodentia; Sciuridae. RNAcentral also lists the same sequence under 1 other name. The record is from Rfam by way of RNAcentral.
UGGGUUGUAGCUCAGUAGUAGAGUAUUUACCUGGCAUGUGUGAGGCACUGGGUUCAAUCCCCAGCAUCACAU